This 391-nucleotide long non-coding RNA is filed under the name Pan troglodytes (chimpanzee). Its description in RNAcentral is "long non-coding RNA NONPTRT000697". The record is from RNAcentral. Lineage: Eukaryota; Metazoa; Chordata; Mammalia; Primates; Hominidae.
GUGUGUGUUCUUCUCCAAAGCCUUUCUUGCUGCUGUGCUUCAAGACUAUGGGAGGUCCCGAGGAAUCGCUGUGGAUGCCCUCACCUUCACCCACCAUGUGAUUUCCGACACCACUGACAAGGAUGAGAAGUUCUCCGUAUUUAUGCCAAAGAAACUCAACAUAGUCAGGAGAGCGUUUAAGGGCUCAGCUUCCUCUCACACUGGAGUUUACAUUUUUGGUUUAUUCAUCGAGGGGGCAAGAUGGAAUCAUGAACAGAAAAUACUGGAAGACUCGCUGCCUCUGGAGAUGUGCUGUGAUUUUCCCGACAUAUACUUUUUGCCAACAAAGGUAACCACCCUGCUAUUAUCCUGAAGUCCUAAACCUCUGAGCGUUCCUUCAGUAAUAUACAAA